UGGCAACAGCUCAAAUUUGAAAUCUGGCCCCCUCGGGGCCCGAGUUGUAAUUUGGAGAAGAUGCUUCGGGUGUGGCCCCGGUCUAAGUUCCUUGGAACAGGACGUCACAGAGGGUGAGAAUCCCGUACGUGCCC
RNAcentral lists this ribosomal RNA (134 nucleotides) under Oidiodendron maius. RNAcentral describes it as "partial large subunit ribosomal RNA". It matches the Rfam family "Eukaryotic large subunit ribosomal RNA", at positions 99 to 230 of the family's 3401-position model. Lineage: Eukaryota; Fungi; Ascomycota; Leotiomycetes; Myxotrichaceae. The record is from RNAcentral.